This is a non-coding RNA of Leptonychotes weddellii (Weddell seal), 251 nucleotides long. The record is from RefSeq and is a predicted model, not a curated record. Lineage: Eukaryota; Metazoa; Chordata; Mammalia; Carnivora; Phocidae.
CUGAGCUAGCAGCUGUGACUGUUUUCUGCAGACGUGGAAGAAAUCCCACUCGUAACAUGAAUCUUGCAGUUGCUGGCAGAAGACACAAGACUCCUGGGUCAGAGACAAAGGACUGCGUGACUCGGAGCUCAGGCAGAAAGAAGUAUGGACAUGAUGACCAUGUCAGUUCCCCUGCUCCCCAACAACUACGGGAUGAAGUGGAUGAAAAGCAAGGUGCUACAAAGAGCGCAUGUGAGAGAACAUAAGCAGGG